UAAUACCCAAUCCUGACACAGGGAGGUAGUGACAAGAAAUAACAAUACGGGGCUUGAAGUCUUGUAAUUGGAAUGAUGGGAAUUUAAACCCCUUCCAGAGUAUCAAUUGGAGGGCAAGUCUGGUGCCAGCAGCCGCGGUAAUUCCAGCUCCAAUAGCGUAUAUUAAACUUGUUGCAGUUAAAAAGCUCGUAGUUGAAUUUCUGCUGCAUCGUGGUUCUUCGCUAUGUCGAGUGAUCUUCGUUGUGGCUUAGUUGGGGCAUGUUUUCAUGACUCGACGUUUACUUUGAGAAAAUUAGAGUGCUUCAAGCAGGCUUUUGCCUUGAAUACUUUAGCAUGGAAUAAUGGAGUAGGACUUUGGUUCUAUUUUGUUGGUUUUAGGAGCCGGAGUAAUGGUUAAUAGGAACAGUUGGGGGCAUUCGUAUUUAAA
Molecule: ribosomal RNA, 427 nt
Filed under: Theileria haneyi
Lineage: Eukaryota; Apicomplexa; Aconoidasida; Piroplasmida; Theileriidae
Description: SSU rRNA
Rfam family: Eukaryotic small subunit ribosomal RNA
Source: RNAcentral